UGGGGAAUAUUGGACAAUGGGCGAAAGCCUGAUCCAGCCAUGCCGCGUGUGUGAAGAAGGUCUUCGGAUUGUAAAGCACUUUAAGUUGGGAGGAAGGGCAUUAACCUAAUACGUUAGUGUUUUGACGUUACCGACAGAAUAAGCACCGGCUAACUCUGUGCCAGCAGCCGCGGUAAUACAGAGGGUGCAAGCGUUAAUCGGAAUUACUGGGCGUAAAGCGCGCGUAGGUGGUUUGUUAAGUUGGAUGUGAAAUCCCCGGGCUCAACCUGGGAACUGCAUUCAAAACUGACUGACUAGAGUAUGGUAUAGGGUGGUGGAAUUUCCUGUGUAGCGGUGAAAUGCGUAGAUAUAGGAAGGAACACCAGUGGCGAAGGCGACCACCUGGACUAAUACUGACACUGAGGUGCGAAAGCGUGGGGAGCAAACA
Molecule: ribosomal RNA, 427 nt
Filed under: uncultured bacterium
Lineage: Bacteria
Description: partial 16S ribosomal RNA
Rfam family: Bacterial small subunit ribosomal RNA
Source: RNAcentral